RNAcentral lists this ribosomal RNA (468 nucleotides) under uncultured bacterium. RNAcentral's name for it is "partial 16S ribosomal RNA". It matches the Rfam family "Bacterial small subunit ribosomal RNA", at positions 28 to 507 of the family's 1533-position model. The record is from RNAcentral.
GACGAACGCUGGCGGCGUGCUUAACACAUGCAAGUCGAACGGAAAGGCCCUGCUUUUGUGGGGUGCUCGAGUGGCGAACGGGUGAGUAACACGUGAGUAACCUGCCCUUGACUUUGGGAUAACUUCAGGAAACUGGGGCUAAUACCGGAUAGGAGCUCCUGCUGCAUGGUGGGGGUUGGAAAGUUUCGGCGGUUGGGGAUGGAAUGGCGGCUUAUCAGCUUGUUGGUGGGGUAGUGGCUUACCAAGGGUUUGAAGGGUAGCCGGCCUGAGAGGGUGACCGGCCACAUUGGGACUGAGAUACGGCGCAGACGCCUACGGGAGGCAGCAGGGGGGAAUAUUGCACAAUGGGCGGAAGCCUGAUGCAGCAACGUCGCGUGCGGGAUGACGGCCUUCGGGGUGUAAACCGCUUUCGCCUGUGACGAAGCGGGAGUGACGGUAAUGGGUAAAGAAGCACCGGCUAACUACGUG